Long non-coding RNA from Homo sapiens (human), 3629 nucleotides. Ensembl annotates it as HTR5A antisense RNA 1. Its record names the gene HTR5A-AS1. The record is from Ensembl. NCBI's taxonomy places the organism in Eukaryota, Metazoa, Chordata, Mammalia, Primates, Hominidae.
AGUAAAUACCUCUCAUAGAGAGCUAGGGAAUUCUCUUUCCUGGAUUUUUAAUUUCCUUCCGCAGCUUUACUCAUGUUCAGGAAGGCAGACAAGUGGUCCUCAGUCACACCUACAACCUAAUAGGGCUGUGGGGGAUAGACCCAUAAAGUAACACCCUAAGGCAGUGGAAGCAGAUAACAAAUGCAGGCUCCGGGACUAGUGCAGUCAACAUCUUCAGUCUUACGUCAGGACGGGAGGAUGCCACAGAAUGACAGUAACCUAGGUGAUACCAUAUUUUUAAUAAACCGGCUGCUGUAAUUUGCAAAGAAAAAGAAUAGACUAGGAUGAAAUGCUAACCUGCAUCACCUGACUCAUGGCAGUCUUCUUAUCAAAUCAUGCUCCCAUCCCUGCCUCCCCUCCUCCUGGAACACCCCCAUUCUAAGUGCUGGAAGCUGCUAGUUUUUUCCAGUGUACUGAAUCAGCGUACCCCAGAUACCAGCUUAUUCAGAUGUUCUAAAGGGUGUUAUAGAUCCAUAGAAUUUGGGGGCCAAAGGGGACCCUGCAGAAUGACGCAGUCUGAACUCCUCGUGUUCUGUAUAUUUAACAAACAACCCAUUAGAGAAGGAACAUGAUAUGAUUAGCCCUGUGAGAGGGAACAUGUCAGAGCAAAGUACAUCUCUGAUGCUUUCUUCCACUCUCCCAGUUUACUCCCCCCACUCCCAAACACAAAAAGUUCCAUUUUCUACAAGUGUGGGGGUGGGGCAGGUGGCCUGGGGAUAUAGCCUGUACAGAUGCAAGUCGAGUAUUUUUAAGGAUUGCUGAGAUACCCACCUCCACAGCUUCGGAUAUGGGUGAGACGCUAUUGGUCUUCCUGGAGCCCACGCGGAACUUGGCAGCCUUGUAGAUCUUCCAGUACACGAAGAGCACCACACAGAGCGGCAGGUAGAAGGCGCCUACGGUGGAGAACACGGCGUAGGAAGGCUCGCGGCUUACCUGGCACUCCUCGCUGCCCUCAGAGUACGUCUCUCCCCAGCCAAAAAGCAGCGGGGCCAGAGAGAUGACAGCGGAGAGUGCCCAGGUGAGCGCGAUCAUGACGUUGGAGACGCACUUGCGGGUGCGGAGCGUGUAUUCCAUGUGGCGCGUGAUGGACCAGUAGCGGUCCAGGGCUAUGGCCGUCACGUUCCAGAUGCUGGCCGUGCAGCAAAGCACGUCGCACGCGAUCCAAAGCUGGCACAGCCUCCGACCUAGCUGCCAGCGGCGCCCGGACAGCUCGUGCACCAGGCUCAGCGGCAUGACCAGCGCGGCCACCAGGACAUCCGAGACGGCCAUGGAUGCCACCAGGUUGUGGGGCACGCGGUGGAAGGUGCGUACACGGAGGAUGGUCGCCAGCACCAGCAGGUUCCAGGCGAACGUCGCCGCCACCAGAAAGCCCAGCAAGAGUAAAACAAGUAUCAGGAGAAUGCACUGAGAAAAGAGAAAGUCCUCCACUGGAACCUAGAGGACGGGACAACAUCAUUAAAUACCGGAUUAUUCACAGGGCUGUUUCAAACACCACUUAAAAACAGCUGAUGGUGACUGCCUGCAUGCAGAGCAACUGUGCAUGGCCCCAAUCUGGAAGCAAGCUUGUGCUUCUUUAAGGCAAAUCACCUUCUUGAGGUCAUGGAACUAAUGGGAAUGAGAUGUAAACUAUGAAUCCUCUUCUUUGGAAAAAGUUCUGCAUCUAGUCUCAGGGCCUGUUAUCUGGAGGAAUGGAUGAACUGUGUUGCCCACAGGCGGGCCUCAAUGGAUCUCUAUGAAUCUUGAAAGGCAUUAUGGGCUUGUGAUUAUAUUCCCUACUGAUUCCCCAGGCCACAGCUGUCUGUAUUGAUAGCUAAGUGAGCAGCAGAAUAGUUAAUAAGGACAAAGCCAAGGAUGACUGAGGAUAAUUUGUGAAAAAUAGAGUGUCAUAAAUUUAGGGACUGAAUAGAAUAUUCCCACAAAGGAGAGAUCCAAUGGAGCAUUUCCAGAAGGGACAAACCCUGUUCAGAAAGUCUGGCUUAUCUCUUAAAAAUACACAAAUAAAAAAUCAUAAUAUUUCAGCUUCAUCUUAAAGCAUAGCCCCAAUUUUAUCUUGAAAAACACUGAAAAGGAAAAGAAUCUGAAAAGGUAUAAAACUCCCGUCUGCCAUAUGGUACCUCUGAAAUGGCAGUAUUGGGAAAUAUACCUUCCUGGGUUGUCACCUCUUAUGGGUUAAACUGUGUCUCUCCUUCCCCCCUCCCUUACCCCCUGCCAGAUUUAUAUAUGGAAGUCCUAACCCCUAGAACCUCAUAGUGUGACUAUAUUUAGAAAUAAGAUCUUUAAAGGGAUGAUUAAGUUAAAAUGAGGCCAUAGGAUAGGGCCUCAUUCAAUCUGACUGACAUCCUUAUGAAAAGAGGAAAUUUAGACAUGCAAAGAGACACCAAGGAUGUGUGUGUGCAUAGGAUAGACCACGUGAGAAUAAAGCAAGAAGGUGGCCAUCUACAAGCCAAGGAGAGAGACAUUAGAAGAUACCAGUAUUGGAAGAUUAGAAGAUAUCAAGAUUGGAUUUCCAGCUGCCAGAACUAGGAAAAAAUAAAUUUCUAGUAUGAGCCACUCAGUCUGUGGUAUUUUGUUAUGGCAGCCCUAGCAAGCUAAUAUACCAUCCGACAAAAGAUACUAGCAAAAGAUACAACCACAUAACUGAACGAGGUGCUAUACUGGAGAAGAGGGAAUUAUAGACAUAUAAACAAAUCAUGGGACAUCUACUAAAACCUUUCCAAAAGGUAGUUUGCAGCCAUCUAGCAAUCAUUCGAGUGCAGACUCAGUUGUCUAUUGAGGUUACUUACGGUUUGUAAUCAAGUCAUGUCACUGGCUUAUAGAAAAAUACUUAUUUUAGAUUUUUCUAUAAUGGGAAGGUAUGAAUCUAUUUCAUUCAAGUAGGAGCUGAUUUUUUGGUUUGUUUUUGCUUCUGUUUUUUGAGACAGAGUCUCACUCUGUCAUCCAGGCUGGAGUGCAGUGGCACAAUCUUGGCUCACUGCAACUUCCAUCUUCCGGGUUCAAGCGAUUCCCAGCUAAGUUUUUUGUAUUUGUAGUAGAGAUGGGGAUUUUACCAUGUUGUCCAGGCUGGUCUCGAACUCCUGACCUCAAUUGAUCCAUCCCCAUCAGCCUCCCAAAUUGUUGGAAUUACAGGCCUAAGCCACCACACCCGGCCAAGACCAACGAAUUUUAAUGUAACAGCAUAAUAAACAUGCAUGAUACAAUUUCAGAUUCCACAUCACAACAAAUCUUUAAGGUGCUACCACUCAUUGAGUUUUAAUAUAGCAUCACAGAAAAAAUAUCCAUAAUUAUCUGAAAAUAGUAUUAAAGUACUCUAUUGUCUGCUGUAUAUCUGUAUGAAAGUGGAUGUUCUUCACAAUCUUAAACUAAAAUAACAUAUCCCAACAGAUGGAAUGUAGAAACAUAUGAUGUUCUAGCUGUCUUGAAGAGAUUUGCAAAAAUGUUAAUGCUAUUCAGAAAUAUUUUAUGAAAAAUAAUUAUUUUUCAUAAUGAGGUAUCACUUAUAUAGACAUGUAAUGGGUUUAUUUUAUUUUUAAUAAACAAAUACACAAAUAUGUUGAAAAUGUCUCUAGUUUAUUUUCCAGUAAAUAUUAAUA